Molecule: ribosomal RNA, 253 nt
Filed under: uncultured bacterium
Lineage: Bacteria
Description: partial 16S ribosomal RNA
Rfam family: Bacterial small subunit ribosomal RNA
Source: RNAcentral
UACGUAGGGACCAAGCGUUGUCCGGAUUUAUUGGGCGUAAAGAGCUCGUAGGCGGUUAUCCACGUCGGAUGUGAAAGCUCAGGGCUCAACCCUGAGAUGCCAUUCGAUACGGGAUAGCUAGAGGUAGGUAGGGGAAAGUGGAAUUCCUGGUGUAGCGGUGAAAUGCGCAGAUAUCAGGAGGAACACCGGUGGCGAAGGCGGCUUUCUGGGCCUUACCUGACGCUGAGGAGCGAAAGCUGGGGGAGCGAACAGG